AAAAAAAUCUAAUGGUUCUAGCCAGUAAAAUGGUUAUAACCUAUUUAACCCUUUGUGAACCAAAAACCUUUUCGCUUCGGUAGCAGGUUCAGUUCAUUCUGUACUGUAAGCCUACCGGUAGCACCAAAUUUAAAACCUGUCUUUUGAACAUUGUCUGAAUAACCAAAUUUUCGAAUGAAAAUUA
RNAcentral lists this unclassified non-coding RNA (184 nucleotides) under uncultured Orbiliales. RNAcentral describes it as "sequence contains ITS1". The record is from RNAcentral. Lineage: Eukaryota; Fungi; Ascomycota; Orbiliomycetes; Orbiliales.